RNAcentral lists this long non-coding RNA (1636 nucleotides) under Daphnia magna. Its description in RNAcentral is "uncharacterized LOC116917545, transcript variant X7". Lineage: Eukaryota; Metazoa; Arthropoda; Branchiopoda; Diplostraca; Daphniidae. The record is from RNAcentral.
AAUGGCAAUGCCGAGAGCCUAGGUACAAUACGAAAACACGAUGCGUUUCUCCCACGGCGGUUGAGGGACUGUGGAUGAGUUUAUUUUUUCUAAAAGGUAGUUAAACAGAAGGGUAUCGAAGGGGGGGGGGCUACUGUCGUAGUAGCAGUCGAUACCAGUCCCCUUGUCAGUGCUUUAGUUGAACGUUGUUAUUUCUACGGAACGCCGUUUGACCCACUUUUGUUUUAGUUAACUCUUUUUCGAUGGUUGUCCGUUUAUUUUGCAAAUGAAUAGAUAACUGGCAUAGCCAUCUAGCAGUCAAAAUCGUCACUUGAAGGAGGGAUUUGAAUAGAUGACGCCUUUUAGGGAGGCCUAACUAUUGUUGAUCGAUUGUUAGGUCGAUUUCGAUCGCCAUUGUACAGUUAAUGGCGCCGCGCAUUGGAAGUAUAUGCAUGUGUGAAUUUCGAUGAGCGUUGCACACCUUGGAGGCGUUGGUUAUCGUAUUGAUAAUAAAGGUAUGUAUGGCAAUUAGCUAUGGAAUAAUUUCUCACUUUGUUCUUAGACUCGCCAGUUGAAGAUACGUGUGCACAGUGUUAGUGCUUGGGUGCCUCGAGAGGAAAUUGCAGAACAUAGCCAUACAGUAUGGUGUGCUUCAACAAUGUCCAACCAUGGAAUGAGUCACAUGUGACCGAGACAAACAAAUGAUGCUUUUGCAUUUUGAAUGUUUAAAUUUUUAUAAUUGUAGUUCACAUAAACUUCUGGCCUGCGUCACCCAAUAGGGUCCAGCAAUUGCAUGGUCCACUUUGACUGUGUAGCGCAACCUACUUCCUUCCUAACUAAAAAUGUUUGGCUAUGUUAUAGCUUCAACAGUGUUGGAACAACUUGUUGUGUGGAGGUGAAGCUUCAAUUUUGGACUUGAUUUGUCAACUGUUGGUUGAGAUAGCAAAAGAGUAUGGAUUAGAUCAACAUUUUAUUCCGCGAGCCACGACCAACGAGCCAAUGACCAACCCAGUGGAAUCCUGGAUACUUAAUCAUGUGUGGUACCAAUCAUGGCUUAAUGGGUAUGGUCACUAUCAGCAGCUUUAAACACAGUGUUCAUCGCAAAAUACACCAAUCCCAGAGAACACUCCAAUGGAAAAUAUUGGGAAUUUCUGCCCUUCCACCCUGAACUUCACAAUGCUGGGUUAGACAGUACGAAAAAUUCUUCUCUCGGAAGUUAAUUACUUUGGACUUGCUUGAGAUGACCCUUGAGGCAAGAAGCUUUUUCUGCUUUGUGUGGACAGGAACACCAGAGGCAUUGAUGUCUGAAACCAACAAGUGUUUUGCAAAGAAAGUAAAAAGAAACAUUGAUGUUGGUUAUCCUCUUAGUGAUGCUGAAGCCUGGUAUCUUAUUGAUCCAUUGGUUCUAUUCGUGGGGAAAAGAAUGUUGUGUGGGAGAAACAGGAUCACAAUUGAACAAAAUAAUCGCAAAGUCGUGGUAAUAAUUCGCGAGAAAUAUGCUAAUAGGGUUUCGCUGUGUUAAUGAGUUCGAAGAGGAUAUUGAUGGAGGUUUGGUGUUAAAAAAGUAUGUGUACAAUGUUGGAAGGGCGACUGAAGAUUUCCGGAUUCUUCUAUUAUCUCACAUGUUAUGGUAUUUAUAAAAAUAUGUUGCAGUGCA